GGCGAGGCUAUAACUGACGCUAAAGCUCGAAGGUGCGGGUAUCGAACAGGAUUAGAUACCCUGGUAGUCCGCACGGUAAACGAUGGAUGCCCGCUGUAUGCGAUAUACUGUAUGCGGCCAAGCGAAAGCGUUAAGCAUCCCACCUGGGGAGUACGCCGGCAACGGUGAAACUCAAAGGAAUUGACGGGGGCCCGCACAAGCGGAGGAACAUGUGGUUUAAUUCGAUGAUACGCGAGGAACCUUACCCGGGCUUGAACUGCAGGAGAACGAUUCAGAGAUGAUGAGGCCCUUCGGGCUCCUGUGGAGGUGCUGCAUGGUUGUCGUCAGCUCGUGCCGUGAGGUGUCGGCUUAAGUGCCAUAACGAGCGCAACCCCUGCGACUAGUUGCCAUCAGGUCAUGCUGGGCACUCUGGUUGGACUGCCACCGUAAGGUGUGAGGAAGGUGGGGAUGACGUCAAAUCAGCACGGCCCUUACGUCCGGGGCUACACACGUGUUACAAUGGGAGGUACAGAGAGAUGGUGUUCCGCAAGGCGCAUCUAAUCCUAAAAGCCUUCCUCAGUUCGGAUUGGGGUCUGCAACCCGACCCCAUGAAGCUGGAUU
RNAcentral lists this ribosomal RNA (600 nucleotides) under uncultured bacterium. RNAcentral's name for it is "bacterial SSU rRNA". It matches the Rfam family "Bacterial small subunit ribosomal RNA", at positions 727 to 1332 of the family's 1533-position model. The record is from RNAcentral.